Elaeis guineensis (African oil palm) is the source of this 2377-nucleotide RNA transcript. It is a transcript of the gene named guanine nucleotide-binding protein subunit beta, with no coding region annotated. The record is from RefSeq and is a predicted model, not a curated record. Lineage: Eukaryota; Viridiplantae; Streptophyta; Magnoliopsida; Arecales; Arecaceae.
UCUCCGAGGUCAACACCCGCUACUCCUCUCUCUCUCUCUCUCCGAGGUUCCCUUGCAGCUCUAUGUCCUCUUCUCUCUGUUGUCCCGUCUUAUCUACCCUCUCGUGUUCGUCCUCGAUUCGCCCCCAGCGAACCCUAACCCUACAUCGGUUUCUACCGUCGUUCUGCUCCGACAUUGGCGCUCUCGGAGUGGGGAUGGUGAAUUAGGGCUCGGGUCGAGCUAGAGCGAGGCCGGUCAUGGCUGCAGAACUCUGAUGUUUUGAAACACUGUGGUCGGGGUUGGGGUUAGGGUUAGGGUUUUGUAUAUGUCUGUUGCUGAGCUGAAGGAGCGGCACAUCGCCGCGAAGGCGACAGUGAACGGUCUGCGCGAGCGGCUGAAACAGAGGCGGCAGGCGCUUCUCGACACCGAUGUUGUUGGGUAUGCUAAGAGCCAUGGGAAAACAGCGAUUAGCCUUGGUUCCACGGAUCUGGUUUGCUGUAGGACCAUGCAGGGUCAUACAGGGAAAGUGUAUGUUAGAAUUGCUGAACUGGAGAAGCCUGAUGUGAUGAGAAAAUACAGGGGAAAGGAUGUUUCGAAUGAUUGUUUGUCACACAAUGCUCAUAAAAAAAAAUGUGUGAAACUUAGCUGGUUUGCUGCGAAGGUCUAUUCACUGGAUUGGGCUCCUGAAAGGAAUCGGAUAGUUAGUGCUUCCCAAGAUGGGAGAUUAAUUGUGUGGAAUGCGUUAACGAGCCAAAAAACACAUGCUAUAAAGCUUCACUGUGCAUGGGUCAUGACAUGUGCCUUUGCCCCCUACAGUCAGUCUGUUGCAUGUGGUGGUCUUGAUAGUGCAUGCUCUAUUUUCAAUCUCAAUUCUCAAGUUGAUAGAGAUGGAAAUAUACCAAUAUCAAGAAUACUUACUGGGCACAAGGGCUAUGUAUCGUCUUGUCAGUAUGUCCCAGAUCAGGAAUCUCGACUAAUUACUAGCUCAGGGGAUCAGACAUGUGUUUUAUGGGAUGUUAGUACUGGUCAGAGGAUCUCUGUCUUUGGAGGUGAAUUUCCAUCAGGACACACAGCUGAUGUAUUGAGUGUCUCAGUCAACUCUUCAAAUUCAAAUAUGUUUGUCUCUGGUUCGUGCGAUGCUACUGCUCGAUUGUGGGAUACUCGAAAAGCUAGUCCAGCAGUUCGAACUUAUCAUGGUCAUGAGGGGGAUGUUAAUGCUGUCAAAUUUUUUCCUGAUGGACAAAGACUUGGGACUGGCUCUGAUGAUGGCACGUGCCGAUUAUUUGACAUGGGGACAGGACAUCAACUUCAGGUUUAUAGUCAGCAGCAUGACAGUAAUGAUAAUGAUGUCCCCAUUGUCACAUCCAUUGCCUUCUCAAUAUCGGGUAGACUCCUUUUUGCUGGAUACUCCAAUGGGGAUUGUUAUGUGUGGGACACACUGGUAGCUGAGCUGAAAUUGUUGUAGGACAAGGAUUGCAAUCUUAGAAGUGGGGUAGGAAGAAAAGGUGGUUAACCCUGAAAAUGUAAUUGGUAUGCUUAUCAGACAGCUGUCCACAGAAAGCAUAAAAUUUUGAAGAAACAGAGGAUCAUUUUAUUUUUGUGGUGGAUGGAGAUGCAUUUUGUCAUCACUGUUAAUGGUCUUGCUCGCAUGAGAGCAAUUGAUUUACCGGUCUGGGUUAUUCGAUGAGAUAUUCAGGGUGGGGGAUGAUAGAAGUCACUAUAUUUUCUAAAAGAAGGCCCUUGGUUUUAAGAGAAUUUGGAGGUAGUCUUGAAUUUGGGAACUCUGCAAAACUCUCAUGAGGGCCGUAUAAGCUGCCUAGGUUUGUCAUCUGAUGGGAGUGCCUUAUGCACAGGAAGCUGGGACAAAAGCCUAAAGAUUUGGGCCUUUGGAGGACACAGGAGGGUGAUCCAUUCGUUGCAUUGAUAGCACUUGUUGUGGAAUAUCAGUUUGGUGCCCAACUCGGACCAUUGUUGUGCAAAUACCAGCUAGCUCUUGUAUAGUGGAUUCUGUGGUGUCUUGCUCCUUAAAGCUACAAGUCCUGCUCCCAUGAAGCUCAAGCAUCUUGAGAUAUCAAUGUUAGCUGGGGGCACUUGCGUGAGGCAGAGACAAGGUUGCAGAAAAACUAUCAGGACUGCCGUGCAACAUUUCAAUGAUUUGUUGUCAUCUGUAUUAUUAGAUCCCCGUAACUCCUUUUUCUUCAUAUUUUUUGCGAAAAGUAAUGUCUUCUGUUGGUAUGUUUAGCCUAUAGAACGUUAUUGUAUCUACUAUUCUGUAUGUACUCUGAUUGGUCUGUACAAGUUGAUCUGGAAUCUUGACUUUAAUAUUUCAUUUGUUAUUUGAACCUUGGAGAGGGUUUGAACUUCGCAGGGAAAUAAUAACCUAACAGAUACCAGUUAA